GACGAACGCUGGCGGCGUGCCUAAUACAUGCAAGUAGAACGCUGAAGGAGUAGCUUGCUUCUCUGGAUGAGUUGCGAACGGGUGAGUAACGCGUAGGUAACCUGCCUGGUAGCGGGGGAUAACUAUUGGAAACGAUAGCUAAUACCGCAUAAGAGUAGAUGUUGCAUGACAUUUGCUUAAAAGGUGCACUUUCAUCACUACCAGAUGGACCUGCGUUGUAUUAGCUUGUUGGUGGGGGAACGGCUCACCAAGGCGACGAUACAUAGCCGACCUGGGAGGGUGACCGGCCACAAUGGGACUGAGACAAGGCCCAGACUCCUACGGGAAGCAGCAGGAGGGAAACAUCGGAAAUGGACGGAAGGCUGAACGAGCAAAGCCGCGUGAGGGAAGAAGGGUUUCGGAUCGUAAAGCUCUGUUGUAAGAGAAGAAAGAGUGUGAGAGUGGAAAGUUCACACUGUGACGGUAUCUUACCAGAAAGGGACGGCUAACUACGUG
This 495-nucleotide ribosomal RNA is filed under the name uncultured bacterium. RNAcentral's name for it is "partial 16S ribosomal RNA". It matches the Rfam family "Bacterial small subunit ribosomal RNA", at positions 28 to 507 of the family's 1533-position model. The record is from RNAcentral.